Molecule: long non-coding RNA, 1113 nt
Organism: Erpetoichthys calabaricus (reedfish)
Lineage: Eukaryota; Metazoa; Chordata; Cladistia; Polypteriformes; Polypteridae
Exons: 3
Source: RefSeq, a predicted model, not a curated record
GCCUCAUAGUGAUAUUACAAAUACUGCCCAGCCUCUGACUAGGUAUUUAAUAUGGUUUGGUGACUGCUGGAUUAAUUUGGUUAUUAGGAAAAGCUGGGUGCAAAAUUCAUUACAAAGAUUUAAGAUAGCUGUCACUAGUACAUUAGAUCAAGGGGCAGAGAUAUCAUGUAACCGCCUAAGUGUAUUCCGUUGAAGAUUACAAGGUACUGCUAAAACAGAAAUAUGCUGGUUCUAUUGACAGAUGGCGAGAUGUUUGAAAUUUCAUUAUUGUAACUGCAACACUGGUACUUUUAGGUAGAAAUGAAGUUUUUAGGGCAUAAACUACAGGUCAGUUUGUGACAACGGUCUGGAGUAAAAUGGGGAGGAGUGUUUAUUUCAGCAGUGGUACAGUCAAAUAAUAUUGCCUAAUGCUCAAUGCAGUAAUAAGAAAACUAUAAAUGAAUGUGAUUUUAUGAUCACAAUACACUCUCCUAAUAGUAUGACAGAACUAAUGAAUACCACUUACACAAGUACCUUAAGAUAGAUAAGUACUCUUGACUUAGAUAACACCCAUGCACAUGGAGGGGGUGAAUUCAAUACAAGACCUGUACUACUUUUUUCUCACAUAUGCCAGGGUGAAGACCCAUGUCACCCUGAUGAUAGAGUCAAUUAUGUUUCAAAUAUGAUUCUACUAACAUUUAUCUUUCAUCAUCAUUACUUUCUAUAUACUUUCUAUCACAGCCUUUUCAGACACUUGAUGUAAAUAACAUUUACAAUAAUGAUAGUAACACUUUGAUCUGAUGUAGCUUAAUAAAUUUUAUCAUGUUUACAGGAGGAUGUACUUUUUUCCCUGCGCGUGUUCCCUUUGAAUUAAGAGGUAUGUAUAGAAGCAAGUCCUUAAUUGACAGAGGGUGACCUGCUAAUUGCCUUCUAGUUGCAGUUAACAGGCAAUCAGACAGCCAGUUGUGCAAACCAAGGAGAAACACCAAACACCAAGACAAGUACAGUUGAAGUCGGAGGUUUACAAUGAAUUCUUUAAAACUCGCUAUAUAACCCCUCCACAGAUAUUAUACUAACAAACUAUAAAUUUGGCAUAUCGUUUAAGACAUCUACUUUGUGCAGGUCAAAAUGAUU